RNAcentral lists this ribosomal RNA (253 nucleotides) under uncultured bacterium. RNAcentral's name for it is "partial 16S ribosomal RNA". It matches the Rfam family "Bacterial small subunit ribosomal RNA", at positions 524 to 776 of the family's 1533-position model. The record is from RNAcentral.
GACGUAGGGGGCCAGCGUUGUUCGGAAUUACUGGGUGUAAAGGGUUCGUAGGCGGUGUAGCAAGUCGGGAGUGAAAUCUCUGGGCUUAACCCAGAGGCUGCUUCCGAAACUGCUGUGCUUGAGUGUGGGAGAGGCGCGUGGAAUUGCAGGUGUAGCGGUGAAAUGCGUAGAGAUCCGGAAGAACACCGGUGGCGAAGGCGGCCUGCUGGGCAGUAGCUGACGCUGAUGCGCGACAGCGUGGGGAGCAAACAGG